This 449-nucleotide ribosomal RNA is filed under the name uncultured bacterium. Its description in RNAcentral is "partial 16S ribosomal RNA". It matches the Rfam family "Bacterial small subunit ribosomal RNA", at positions 29 to 523 of the family's 1533-position model. The record is from RNAcentral.
AGCGAACGCUGGCGGCAGGCCUAACACAUGCAAGUCGAACGGAUCCUUCGGGAUUAGUGGCGGACGGGUGAGUAACACGUGGGAACGUGCCCUUUGGUUCGGAACAACUCAGGGAAACUUGAGCUAAUACCGGAUGUGCCCUUCGGGGGAAAGAUUUAUCGCCAUUGGAGCGGCCCGCGUCUGAUUAGCUAGUUUGUGAGGUAAAGGCUCACCAAGGCGACGAUCAGUAGCUGGUCCGAGAGGAUGAUCAGCCACAUUGGGACUGAGACACGGCCCAAACUCCUACGGGAGGCAGCAGUGGGGAAUCUUGCGCAAUGGGCGAAAGCCUGACGCAGCCAUGCCGCGUGAAUGAUGAAGGUCUUAGGAUUGUAAAAUUCUUUCACCGGGGACGAUAAUGACGGUACCCGGAGAAGAAGCCCCGGCUAACUUCGUGCCAGCAGCCGCGGUAA